UUAUAUCAUUUUGAUUAAAAAGUUUAGUGUUUACUAUCUACCUAUUAUAAGUUACCGUUCACUAAACAUGGUAGCUAAUCUGCAAUGCUGGCAGUUGUUUUUAUACUAAUAAUAACUCAACAUAUUUGUUUAUCAUUAAUCAUUAUCAACUAUUCAAAUGUCCAAAUAACAUUUUGUUUUGCACUUUUUCAAUCACGUUUAACGUCUGCUCGGUCUGCCUUGUGCGUUAAUUUGAUAUAUAUAUAUACAUAGGCGUGUUUUGGCGAAUAACUACAUGUAGCCGGGUUACUAUAUUCUAUAAACAAGUCGGUUCGUCAAUCUUAUCUAAUCUUUUACAAUAAAUCAUUUUAAUUUAUUAAUUAAUUUUUACUAUAGGCUAUACACAUAUAAAAAGUACAUAUUUCUAUUUAGGUAUUUGUAAUUAACCACUCCCCCUCCCAUUUACUCAAUAACAGUUUACC
This is a non-coding RNA of Cinara cedri, 461 nucleotides long. The record is from the annotation of a GenBank genome assembly. Lineage: Eukaryota; Metazoa; Arthropoda; Insecta; Hemiptera; Aphididae.